GGUUAAAUCAUACUAGAGAUCACAUGAAGACAUUCUAAAAUCACACUAUAAAAAUUGCUGAUAUAGGAGGAAAGGCUUACAAGAAUGUCUUUCAAACCCUUUUAUCCAACAAGUUAUUCAUCUUUUACUUUUCUUUCUUCCAACCUUAUCCUCUAUGAUACUAUUUUACUUUCUAAAUGAAUACAGUUUUGCCAUUUCGAUAGGACAAACAAUUUGACCUCUAAAAGAAACUUUGAAAUCCAAAAGUCUAUAAAGAAUUAAGGCCUGAAUUUAAGACUUAAGGCCAAUUCUUUAGACACAAUUCUCUACUUCUAAAAAUGCUAAGGUUGUAAUUUGGAAAAAACAGCAGAAUAAAGACUGCUAUGGGACCUCAAAUUUUAAAAAUUGUUUAACUGUGGUAUUCUAAAUUAUCAUACAAUCAGAUUAAGUUGGUGGAACUAAAACAGGGCGCAUUACCUCAAACAGCCAGCAUUUACAAGAACCAAAUUGAUUUUUUUUUCUUACAAAAGUCAGGCAACUUCCAAAUUAAGUCACUUUUUACCAUAUACCCUGGAGAAUAACAUGGCCCGACACACCACACGUCCCACUUAUCUAGUUCAAGCGAGUAACAUAACGUGAGAAACUGCACUGUGUAAUUCCUUUAUUUUCUGCAUAUUAGUGCUUUACCAACACUACAACCAUAAAGAACACAAUUCCAAGUACUGUACUUUUUAGUUUGGGGAGAUCACAGUCUACAGACUCAUUUACUUAUAUUAAACAAGAUUAACCUCAUUCAAAACUUACUGCAGUUUAUAAAUUCACAUAAAUACAGAAAUGGAUGCAAUUAAACAACUUCAGGAUCUUAUUUUUAAAAUUCUUAGAUAAUUUUUUCUGCAGGCUAUAAUUACCUGCUCCAGUCACCAAUGGUUAUUGUUCAAUUUAACUACAUCAAUUAUAAACCUCUUAUAUCCUUAAAGAAAAUUUUAAGUGAAAAUUACAAUUUCUUACCAAAAGGUUUAGGGUUUUCCAAAUUUCAAAUAUUUGCUUCCCCCUCCCCCCUUUCCAGUCAAACAUUUCAAAUAAACUAAAAAUAACCACAUCUCACCUGCAACAUUCAAUAAUAGCAAUCACUUGAUGUAUAAAAUUUUAACUAUGCCCCCAGUUAUUUUAAGACACAAAAAAAUGGCUGCCUACCAAUCUGUCUUCACAAGUUAGAAAUACUACAUUUAAGAUUUAACAUGAGGGUUUCAAGUUUCCUCCAGUUUAGGCAUUUAUACCUUUGUGCUUGUUUUGUUUCAGGAUGUUACUAUAGCAUUGAUAUUGGAUAACCCAUAUUUAUAUACUUUAAAAUGCAAUCAUUUGAAACACUAAAAAUUACAUUUAUGGUGGAGCUUUGGAAAUUUUAGAAAGCAACCAGUGUUCUUAGAUGUGUUUAUCAGCCUCAUUUCUAGAGCUCUUUCUACUAAAGUGAAACUGAGAACUUCGUACUUUAGUUGUAUCCUGAAAUCAAAAAAAUCCCUCUGCACCAACAGGAGCCUACAUGAGAAUACCCUUUUGCAUCUGCUUUAAGUAAAAUGUUUGUUAAGAGUUUUACUUUGAAUAGUUCAUUUUUUUAUAGUCUUACACUUCUCAUACAUCUUUGGUAAAAGCUCCAUUAUACAAUAUGGCCAAAGUGUGAAGGACCAAUACUGUCCAACUAUACCAUGAUAUCCCGCUCAAUUUUAGUUUUCAGACACCCUCAUAAACAAAACCCACUCCACCUUUUCCUGUAUACUGCCUUUGCAGUCUACAUUUCUGAAAUUCCCUAUUUAAUUCCUUGAGGAUCACUAAAAUUAAUCCUUAAGGCUAUAUAGGAACCAGAUGCUGCUUUACAAUUCUGCAUCAAGCAUUAACAUUUGGUUCAAAAUAUUAUCAUAGUGGUCGCAAUCCAGUUACUGGUCCUAACCAGCUAACCAAGUAAUCUUGUUAGGAUCUGGAUUAUUGAACCAACAGGAUAUCUUUUUUAUUAUUUGCAUGAGUUAAUCCUACAAACAAAAUUAAAUACCUCUUUUAUAAAACAUCUUUUCCAGUGUUCUAAUUGAUGGAGAUGCGGAUCACUCAUCUAUAAAAAAUGACUUACAGCUUCAGCUUAAUCAGUUGCUAUAAUGUGAAAACAGGAAUGUGUAUUUUUUUCAACUAGGUAAAAGGUGCAUAUAAUUUGAAUUGUUAAAUGUUUUAUUAAUGAACAAAGUAAACCUUUUAGUAAUUUUUAAAUUACUGGUCUUAGGUGUUUGAAACAAGGUAAAAGUAUACAUUCCAGUUUUGCCCAAAAGUCACUUAAAAUAUCUACAAAUUAUUUAAUCUGUGUGUGGUAACACCAUUAUUGCUCCAAUUUCUGGAAAGAGUCUAUUUUCAAAGUUUAAAAAAGAGGAAAAACAGCAAAGUGGCUAACUUUGCAGUGGAAAGAAAAAGUGUCCUUCAUGGGUUACACUUUCAUAUUUUUAUGCAGCAUUAAGUUAUCUACGUUAUGGGGAACUUGGGUUUUAUUCCUACUCAUGCAUGAUGUGUUUCAGAACUUACUUGCUGACAUUUCAGAGAACUUCUUACAUUACCUGUUUAACAUACUGAGGUGCAACUGGAACAUAUUACAAUAUUACUCAUUAUUUGCCACUGUGGGCUAAGUUUACUAUACUGGUCUUAGAUAUAAAAGGUCACAUUUGAAAUUACUAAGUUAGAACUCAUAAGGAAGGGGGGGGAAGGCCUUAAAUAUAAAAGACAAACGGCAGUUUGAUUAAGCAAUAAUUUUCAGUUUACUAGAUGAAACAGACUUGCAACAUAGUCUGCAUGAAUGCAAAAUAAG
This 2818-nucleotide long non-coding RNA is filed under the name Homo sapiens (human). Its description in RNAcentral is "HSALNT0210670". Lineage: Eukaryota; Metazoa; Chordata; Mammalia; Primates; Hominidae. The record is from RNAcentral.